GACGAACGCUGGCGGCGUGCUUAACACAUGCAAGUCGAACGGAAAGGCCCUGCUUUUGUGGGGUGCUCGAGUGGCGAACGGGUGAGUAACACGUGAGUAACCUGCACUUGACUUUGGGAUAACUUCAGGAAACUGGGGCUAAUACCGGAUAGGAGCUCCUGCUGCAUGGUGGGGGUUGGAAAGUUUCGGCGGUUGGGGAUGGACUCGCGGCUUAUCAGCUUGUUGGUGGGGUAGUGGCUUACCAAGGCUUUGACGGGUAGCCGGCCUGAGAGGGUGACCGGCCACAGUGGGACUGAGAUACGGCCCAGAGUCCUACGGGAGGCAGCAGUGGGGAAUAUUGCACAAUGGGCGGAAGCCGGAUGCAGCAACGCCGCGUGCGGGAUGAUGGCCUUCGGGUUGUAAACCGCUUUCGCCUGUGACGAAGCGUGAGUGACGGUAAUGGGUAAAGAAGCACCGGCUAACUACGUG
This 468-nucleotide ribosomal RNA is filed under the name uncultured bacterium. Its description in RNAcentral is "partial 16S ribosomal RNA". It matches the Rfam family "Bacterial small subunit ribosomal RNA", at positions 28 to 507 of the family's 1533-position model. The record is from RNAcentral.